UGCUUACUGGACUGUCUAACUUAUUAUUUUUUAUUUUAUUAUUUUUAUAGAUAUUGAGGAAUUAAGAUCAUACAAAAUAUGAAUGGAAGAGUGAUUAGAAGAAGAGUCUCUAUACUUUUAUUUUAGAUUGAAAGUCUUAUUGAAUUUGAUGUAAGACUUAUUGAACAUUGUUGAAUUUAUUGAGAUAUUAAAGUUGAAAUUUAGAUUUUUAUAUUUUGAAUUUAAAUUAUUGAUUAAUUAUUUUAUUAUUAUUUUAUGAUAUCAUAAUAAGAUGCCUUGCAUGCUUGUGGAGAGAGUUUCUUAUGAGUAUGUGACGGUUGCCAUGACCUUUGGCUCACAAUCUCGGAUCGGGGGUGUGACAAAUAAAGUACUAUCAGAGCAUAAGUGGAUAAAUUAUGAAACAUAAAAUUAGAUAUAGAAUGAGUGUAAGUGGAUAAACAUUAGGGUCAUUAUGGUGUAGAUCUAUGAUGAUUGUAGUGUGAAAAAUCUUUAUGAUUUUUGAUUAAAUAUUAAGAUUAUAUAUAAAAAGACCACAAGAGAUUAUGACAUGUAAAGUUUAAAGUAUGAUGGACGAUCUAUGGAUCAUGAUAUAAUUAGUUAGAUUUUGAUAGAAAGUAAUUACAAAAAAAUUGACAUGAUAAUUUUAUUAUAUAUUAUGAUUUUUAAUUUCAUCAUUGAUUAUUCAAGUAAAUCGUAAGCUCAAAUUUGAUGCGAGAAUAAUACUAUGAUAUUACCCUUAAUUGAGAAGUUAACUAUUAUUGGGAAGAUAAAGAUUUAAUGAUAAAAUAUUAUUUCAGGAUGGACUAAGAAAAUCUUUUAUGAUACUUGAUUAGAAUAUUUAUCGAAAUUGAACUUGAUAUGUGGAUCAUGUAUAAAUUUGCAUAUUAGG
Molecule: long non-coding RNA, 889 nt
Filed under: Elaeis guineensis (African oil palm)
Lineage: Eukaryota; Viridiplantae; Streptophyta; Magnoliopsida; Arecales; Arecaceae
Description: long non-coding RNA (EGUI_LNC079346)
Source: RNAcentral